CCUACGGGAGACAGCAGUGGGGAAUAUUGCACAAUGGGGGAAACCCUGAUGCAGCGACGCCGCGUGAGUGAAGAAGGAAUUCGUUAUGUAAAGCUCUAUCAGCAGGGAAGAAAAUGACGGUACCUGAGUAAGAAGCCCCGUCUAACUAGGGGCCAGCAGCCGCGGUAAUAUGUAGGGGGCAGGCGUUAUCCGGAUUUAUUGGGUUUAAGGGGUGCGUAGGCGGAAUGCAAGGUCAGCGGUAAAACCGCGGGGCUCAACCUGGCACCGCCGUUGAAACUGGCGUUCUUGAGUGGGCGAGAGGUAUGCGGAAUGCGUGGUGUAGCGGUGAAAUGCAUAGAUAUCACGCAGAACUCCGAUUGCGAAGGCAGCAUACCGGCGCCCAACUGACGCUGAGGCACGAAAGCGUGGGUAUCGAACAGGAUUAGAUACCCCGGUAGUC
Molecule: ribosomal RNA, 439 nt
Filed under: uncultured bacterium
Lineage: Bacteria
Description: partial 16S ribosomal RNA
Rfam family: Bacterial small subunit ribosomal RNA
Source: RNAcentral